This 254-nucleotide ribosomal RNA is filed under the name uncultured bacterium. Its description in RNAcentral is "partial 16S ribosomal RNA". It matches the Rfam family "Bacterial small subunit ribosomal RNA", at positions 524 to 776 of the family's 1533-position model. The record is from RNAcentral.
UACGUAGGGUGCAAGCGUUGUCCGGAAUCAUUGGGCGUAAAGAGCGUGUAGGCGGCCCGAUCAGUCCGCUGUAAAAGUCCAAGGCUCAACCCUGGGAUGCCGGUGGAUACUGUCGGGCUAGAGUCCGGAAGAGGCGAGUGGAAUUCCUGGUGUAGCGGUGAAAUGCGCAGAUAUCAGGAGGAACACCAAUGGCGAAGGCAGCUCGCUGGGACGGUACUGACGCUGAGACGCGAAAGCGUGGGGGAGCAAACAGG